This 250-nucleotide unclassified non-coding RNA is filed under the name air metagenome. RNAcentral's name for it is "partial contains small subunit ribosomal RNA, internal transcribed spacer 1, and 5.8S ribosomal RNA". The stretch from base 1 to 46 matches the Rfam family "Eukaryotic small subunit ribosomal RNA", at positions 1786 to 1831 of the family's 1831-position model. The record is from RNAcentral.
AAGUCGUAACAAGGUUUCCGUAGGUGAACCUGCGGAAGGAUCAUUACUGAGUGAGGGCCCCUCGGGGUCCAACCUCCCACCCGUGUUUAACGAACCUUGUUGCUUCGGCGGGCCCGCCUCACGGCCGCCGGGGGGCAUCCGCCCCCGGGCCCGCGCCCGCCGAAGCCACCUGUGAACGCUGUCUGAAGUAUGCAGUCUGAGACAAUUAUUAAAUUAAUUAAAACUUUCAACAACGGAUCUCUUGGUUCCG